UUGAUCCUGGCUCAGAUUGAACGUUGGCGGGAUGCUUUACACAUGCAAUGAACGGCAGCACGGACUUCGGUCUGGUGGCGAGUGGCGAACGGCAGAGUAAGGUCGGAACGUGCCUAGUAGCGGGGAUAACUACGCGAAAGCGUAGCUAAUACCGCAUCGCCCUUCUGGGGAAAGUGGGGACCUUCGGGCUCCUGCACUAUUAGAGCGGCCGAUAUUUGGAUUAGCUAGCUGGUGGGAAACGGCCCACGUCAGCGCGACGAUCCGUAGCUGGUUUGAGAGGACGACCAGCCACACUGGGACUGAGACACGGCCCAGAUUCUACGGAGGCAGCAGUGGGGAAUUUUGGGAUGACAAUGGGGAAACCCGAUCCAGCCAUCCCGCGUGUGCGAUGAAGGCCUUCAGGUUGUAAAGCACUCUUGGCAGGAAGAAACGGCACGGGAUAAUACCCCGUGCAACUGACGGUACCUGCAGAACAAGCACCGGCUAACCACGUGCCAGCAGCCGCGGUAAUACGUAGGGUAAGCGUUAAUCGAAUUACUGGGCGUAAAGCGCAUGCAGGCGGUUCGGAAGAAAGAUGGAAAUCCCAGAGCUUAACUUUGGAACUGCAUUUUUAACUACUGGCUUUAGAGUGUGUCAGAGGAGGUGGAAUUCCGCGUAGCAGAAAUGCGUGAUAUGCGGAGGAACACCGAUGGCGAAGGCAGCCUCCUGCAGAUACCGACGCUUCGCACGAAAGCGUGGGGAGCAAACAGGAUUAGAUAAUUCUGGUAGUCCACGCCCUAAACGAUGUCAACUAGCUGUUGGGGCUUCCUCGGGGCCCGGUUAGCGCAGCUAACGCGUGAAGUUGACCGCUCCGGGGAGUACGGUCGCAAGAUUUAAAAACUCAAUUGAUGGGACCCGCACAAGCGGUGGAUGAUGUGGAUUAACUGAUGCAACGCGAAAAACCUUACCUGCCCUUGACAUGUCUGGAAUCCCGAAGAGAUCUGGGAGUGCUCGCAAGAGAACCGAACACAGGUGCUGCAUGGCUGUCGUCAGCUCGUGUCGAGAUGCUGGGUUAAGUCCCGCAACCUCAUCAUUAGUUGCUACGAAAGGGCACCGACGAGACUGCCGGUGACAACUGGAGGAAGGUGGGGAUGACGUCAAGUCUCAUGGCUCUGCGGUAGGGCUUCACACUGCUCAUAUACAAUGGUCGGGACAGAGGGUCGCCAACCCGCGAGGGAGCCAAUCCCAGAAACCCGAUCGUAGUCCGGAUCGCAGUCUGCAACUCCGACUGCGUGAAGUCGGACCCAUGGUAAUCAUGGAUCAGCACGCCGCGUGAAUGUCGUUCCUGAAUUUGUACAUACCGCUCCGUCAUACCAUGGGAGUGGGUUUUACCAGAAGUAGUUAGCCUAACCGCAAGGAGGGCGAUUACCACGGUAGGAUUCAUGACUGGGGGUGAAGUCGUAACAGCGUAA
RNAcentral lists this ribosomal RNA (1451 nucleotides) under uncultured Bordetella sp. RNAcentral describes it as "partial 16S-23S ribosomal RNA intergenic spacer". It matches the Rfam family "Bacterial small subunit ribosomal RNA". The record is from RNAcentral. Lineage: Bacteria; Pseudomonadati; Pseudomonadota; Betaproteobacteria; Burkholderiales; Alcaligenaceae.